RNAcentral lists this long non-coding RNA (4058 nucleotides) under Xyrichtys novacula (pearly razorfish). The record is from RNAcentral. Lineage: Eukaryota; Metazoa; Chordata; Actinopteri; Labriformes; Labridae.
CCUUUCCAAGAGAUCAUGUUUCCAAAGGGAGAGUCUUGGGAAAUUUUGACUGCCCAGUAAAUCUAACCCUAUUACAUCACACAUGCAGUUAAACACAGCCAAGGCCGCCCCAUUCACCAAGCCCCUGUCAUAACUCACCGCUGAUUGGUCCGCCUGUUGUAGGGCAAGAGGUUGUGAUUGGUUAAAAACGAGGGCAAGUCUCAACAAGACCUACUGACUGACUGACAUGGAAAAGAGGAAGAAUGGUCCUUACAUGGAGACAAAGGGACUUAAAGCAGAGCAACAUUUUAAAAUGUAUGUUGUGUUUACAUCAAAAUAAGUGUGUGGUUAAGCUUAGGGAAUGGAUGUUUUCUGUAUUUACUCCUUUAAUCUUUCUUUAUUUUGUCCAACCAGAACCUUUGUUUAAAUCUGAAUCAAAAGACCCUGGGAUACCCAACCAGCCUCCAAAACCUCUCCAGGUUGUUAAUGAUUAUUUUGAGCCCAUCUGUACACUAUUUGUUAUGAAAAUUAGCCCCUCUAAUGCCUCUUAAGUUGGCUCUGUUGACUGUUGUUAAUGGUGCUUAGGUAAGGUUAUGUAACGGCCCGCUCAGGAGAAAAAAAAAGAGGAAAAAAAGCAGAAGAGGGAAGUCCUGCAUACUGAGCUCACAUCUAAGACUCCGGCCAGACCCUUUCUGUUCUCUCAGUCCACGUUAGACAAAGCCUGUUUUCCUGCUUUUGCGUUCUGCUGCUGAGCAGCAUCUUAAAUGCAGGAGAGUAAAUCUUGUAAUCUGUCUGAAGUGUCUCUUGGAUGUUUCAGGAGUGUUUAAGAGAUCAAAUCUGCUUUUAUUCAGAGAGAGACUAAACAGAGCGCUUUUGUUAUGAUCAGGUGGAUUUAGAUGGAUGUUUUUCCUUCUUUCAGAGGAAGCUGUUUCAUGUCUUUUCAUCCCUCUCCUAAAAAAUCCUUUAAAUCAUUGAACUUUUCACCAAGAAUUAAAGCAAUGUGCCAAAUUCCUUUUACUUUUGUUGUUAUGAAAUGUUCUAAAAAGAUUCAAGGUAAGAACACUUGAUCUAAUCGUUUCCCCUCUACAGCUCUAAAUAUAACUGCAGAAAUAGCGCCGUCAUGAUCGGCCUCUGCUAUUCUGCACCAAGGUUGACCCUUUCCAGUCAUCCAAGUUAGCUUCUGAAUGCAGCAAACGUUUCUGCCAGCCUGUAGGCCGCCAAGAAGUCCAGCCACAUGGACACAGUCAUGAGAUCAGGCUGAAAUUGGGACGGAUUUGCAGUUUGUACAGUUAACCAGGUAACAGUAGGAAUUUAGAGGAAGACUAUUAACCAGGACUUCAUGGUUGUGCAGUAGUUAGAAGUGUUGCCUCAGAGUAAAGUGGCUCGGUUUGGUCGGACCUUUCUUUGUAGGGUCUCCCCAGGUACUCUCUAUAGGUCCAGAGUAGGGCUGGGCGAUAUGGGAAAAAGUUUAUCACAAUAUAUUUUUUUCAUAUCAGUCGAUAUCGAUGAAUGUCACAUAUAAAAAAUGAAAUUUGACAGUGCUUAUUGGCAUGUCUUUUACAAUACAAUGAGCUACUGCAUUUGUGAGGUCUUUGUGUCUCUUCCACGUUUUGUCAUAAGGUGUUGUGCUAGAGAAAGCAGACUGAAUGUUACAGCUGUCUUGGCUACACAGGCGGCGUGGGCUCCUUGCUCCACUCAGGGUUUGUAACCUUUUGCAUUGCGUGUGCUCUGCAGUGUGGCGCUGCUUCAGGUGAUGAAAAAGACCCAGGCGUGGACCUGGAGCAACUCCCCUUUUCAUUGGCUUUUUGUAUCCUCUACCUAAACAUGGCAGAAUGCAGACUAUCAAAAAGCAUAUUGACCAUGUUUUAUGUUGAUAUUGAGGGAAAUUAUUUUUCAAUAUAUAUCUUUUUCAUUCUAUCGCCCAGCCCUAGUCCAGAGAGACGAGCCUGCCUGUGAUAUGAAUGUGAGUGAUUGGGGGUUUUCUUGUCUCCAUGAUGGACUGAUAGCCUGUCUAAGUUGAACUCUGCCUCUUGUCUAGUGAGAUUGGCAAGAUCCCCCUUCCCCCAAACUGGUAGAGAUGAGCCAGAUAGAUAAUAAAUAGAUGACUGGACUCUCUCAGCUGCAGGAAACAUCUAUUAUCAGCUUUGGUUUUGUAAAUUUAAACAUGUUUAGGAGUUUAUUUUGUCAGAUAAAGUUCAGCUUCUUCAGUGGCCAGUAAAAAAAACUGAAAGCACAAAAGAUAAGCAAAAUUCAAGUCAAGUUUUUAUCGAGCUAAAACACGGAGAACAAUCAAAGUUGAAAGAAGUUGAUCUGUUGGCUGAAUUAUAAGAGAUGGAAUCAGCUGAAGUAUUAGUCUGUGUCAAAGAACUCAAAGGAGCUGGAUCAUCUGACGAAGCGUAAAGAGUACAGACAAAGGGGUGCCAGUGGCCUCGGGGUCCAAGCGAGUGCCCCAUAUAUGGAGGUUAUGCCUCAGGCCUGUGGCUCCUUUCCCCAAUGUCAAACCCUACUCUCUCUUUGUCCACUCUCUAACUUCUUUGACUUAUUCUGUAAAAUAAAAACACCAAAAAGCUUAAAAACAAAAAAUACCAAAGUUGCGAAGUUAUAAUAAAUGUUUUUAUUUUGGAGUUAAAGUUGAGACACAAAAUGUUGUUAAACCAUCAGAGUAAGAUUACACCUUUAAAAGGAAUUAUUGAUCACCGGGAAGAUUAAGGUUCAAUCCACUGAGUUCAUGUGAUCAUGAAGUCCUCCAAGACGUCCACGUUGGAGUUAAAGUGAGUUGCUAGGAAACUGAGAGGAUUACUGUCAAUAAAAGCUGACUUGAACUGAUCGAUGAAGAUGAUAAUGAAUCGUCUCAUUAAGGCUCUUAGUCUUGUGCAGCCAUAAAAAAACAACAAACAAAAAUGAAAUGAUCCUGAUGGUGUGGAGUCCAAAACCUGGUGUUCCACAUGUGAUCACCAACAUUUUAGAGGGCUUGUAAAGUUAGCUGAAGUGUUGCAGGAUGCCGGAUUUUAGUGAAAUGACAUUUUUGAAAAAUUAGAGUGUAAAAGAUUUAUUUAGUGAAACUGCCAUGAGAGCAUUUAAGACUGUAAAACAAGUUACAGAUACUUUAUGUGUAAAUCCAUGGGGUCUCAUUAAUGCGUCCUCCUCAUUUCCUUCCCCAUGACGCACAGUUUUUUGACCUCUGCAUUGUUUCUGUCCGUGUUUACUGACUUUUUGUACAUGUUCUCCUGAGUUUCUCCCAGUGUCAGUGGAGUAAUGUGAAACUGUUGGCUAAAUGGAGACUUAACCAAGUGUUAGUGCAAGAAAAACAAUACUUUAAGUGUCAGAAAGCAGCUGCUUUUUCAGUGUGAGGGUCAAAGUCGGGGCUGCCUAUGAAUGCAGACGAUAUUUUAGCCCGUCUGAACUUGUCUACGAAAUUCCAGAGUUGGAAACAGAGCAAAGUCCACAUUCUGAGUUUGAUACAAAAUGGUAAGUGAAGUUGAAAAUAGUCUGAGUUGCCUCUCUGAUUUUAUGUCCAAUUUCAUGUCAAUUAUUUACACCAAAAAUUAAAUUUAUAAUUUAAGAUUUGAACCGAAAUAUCAUCUGUUGUAAGAAUAAAACAUGAUCUUCUGCUCUAAACAAACAGUGAAGUUAGAAAUCAGAUCAGUUUCCUGUGGGGUUUUCUGGGGUUCCAAAGCUGCCAGACAAUAGAGGGCUUCACACACACACACACACACACACACACACACACACACACACACACACACACACACACACACACACACACACACACACACACACACACACACACACACACACACACACACACACACAGUCAUGCCUUUGUUUCCUCUCUCUUGUCUUGCAGAUCAGAUUAAACGCAGCAGCCGGUCCGAGUCAAACGCAGGUGCUGACCUGCAGAGAACUCGUCUCUUUGUCUCGCUGUGCGACCUGCUGACGGUGUCACAGAGAGCGCUGGUUUUCAGCAGAGAGGGACGACCCUGAUUGUUAUCACCUGGAUACCUGAUAAUGACAGAAAACUCAGGACCAGACACAGAACUAUGGCUGAACAAUAGUGAUACAUUAACCGUCAGUGCAAU